RNAcentral lists this ribosomal RNA (521 nucleotides) under uncultured bacterium. RNAcentral describes it as "bacterial SSU rRNA". It matches the Rfam family "Bacterial small subunit ribosomal RNA", at positions 25 to 518 of the family's 1533-position model. The record is from RNAcentral.
CAGGACGAACGCUGGCGGCGUGCCUAAUACAUGCAAGUCGAACGGUCUUUUCUAUGGAAGCUUGCUUCCACUGAGAAGAUAGUGGCGAACGGGUGAGUAACACGUGGGUAACCUGCCCAUAAGAGGGGGAUAACAUCCGGAAACGGGUGCUAAUACCGCAUAGUUUUCUUGAUCGCAUGAUCGGGAAAGGAAAGACGGCCUUUGUGCUGUCGCUUAUGGAUGGACCCGCGGCGUAUUAGUUAGUUGGUGAGGUAACGGCUCACCAAGACGAUGAUACGUAGCCGACCUGAGAGGGUGAUCGGCCACAUUGGGACUGAGACACGGCCCAAACUCCUACGGGAGGCAGCAGUAGGGAAUCUUCCGCAAUGGACGAAAGUCUGACGGAGCAACGCCGCGUGAGUGAAGAAAGGUUUUCGGAUCGUAAAACUCUGUUGUCAGAGAAGAACAAGUUGGAGAGUAACUGCUCCAGCCUUGACGGUAUCUGACCAGAAAGCCACGGCUAACUACGUGCCAGCAGCCGC